UGGCAGGCCGUUCAGCGAGGCUGAGUCUGAAGUGACUCUGUUCUUUCCUGUUGUGUCUGCUAGAUGGACUUGAGGUGGUUUGAGGCCUGCUGUUUACCUUCUGCAGUAUGGUUAUAGAAACCUCAGACAAUC
Small nucleolar RNA from Carassius auratus (goldfish), 132 nucleotides. RefSeq annotates it as small nucleolar RNA SNORA9. Lineage: Eukaryota; Metazoa; Chordata; Actinopteri; Cypriniformes; Cyprinidae. The transcript has a single exon. The record is from RefSeq and is a predicted model, not a curated record.